RNAcentral lists this ribosomal RNA (253 nucleotides) under uncultured bacterium. Its description in RNAcentral is "partial 16S ribosomal RNA". It matches the Rfam family "Bacterial small subunit ribosomal RNA", at positions 524 to 776 of the family's 1533-position model. The record is from RNAcentral.
UACGUAGGGUGCGAGCGUUAAUCGGAAUUACUGGGCGUAAAGUGUGCGCAGGCGGCGCUGCAAGUCGAGUGUGAAAUCCCCGAGCUUAACUUGGGAACUGCGCUCGAAACUACGGCGCUGGAGUAUGGCAGAGGAAGGUGGAAUUCCACGUGUAGCGGUGAAAUGCGUAGAGAUGUGGAGGAACACCGAUGGCGAAGGCAGCCUUCUGGGCCAAUACUGACGCUCAUGCACGAAAGCGUGGGGAGCAAACAGG